Molecule: long non-coding RNA, 394 nt
Filed under: Olea europaea (common olive)
Lineage: Eukaryota; Viridiplantae; Streptophyta; Magnoliopsida; Lamiales; Oleaceae
Description: long non-coding RNA (OEUR_LNC006622)
Source: RNAcentral
ACAUGUGUGAAAAUCAUCAGGAUAAAUUUAAGUUGGGAUUAGUUAUGUUGGUAGAUUGUGUGUUAAAACCAACUUCAAGACAAAUUGAUUAUAGAACUCUUGGUGUGAUUGAGUAUGUUGAUGAGUUUCUUGCGUAUCCAUGGGGUUGUAAAAUAUAUUUUGUUUUGUUAAAUUUUUUGAAAGAGUCAAAAUUUGAAAGAAUAGUAAGGAUGCAACGGAAUGAACAAGUAGAAUGUAAGUAUGCACUACAAGGGUUUCCACUUGCUUUUCAGGUAUUUUUUUUGUAUUUUUUUAUUGAUUUAUUAUGUAUAAGUUAUAUAGAUAACAAAUCUUAACACCAUAGCCUAUAGGUAAUCUUUAAGAUUCAUAAUAAACAACCACAACAAAGUCUCCG